This 465-nucleotide ribosomal RNA is filed under the name uncultured bacterium. RNAcentral describes it as "partial 16S ribosomal RNA". It matches the Rfam family "Bacterial small subunit ribosomal RNA", at positions 28 to 506 of the family's 1533-position model. The record is from RNAcentral.
GAUGAACGCUGGCGGCGUGCUUAACACAUGCAAGUCGAACGGAAAGGCCCAAGCUUGCUUGGGUACUCGAGUGGCGAACGGGUGAGUAACACGUGGGUGAUCUGCCCUGCACUUCGGGAUAAGCCUGGGAAACUGGGUCUAAUACCGGAUAGGACCACAUUUUGGAUGGUGUGGUGGAAAGUUUUUCGGUGUGGGAUGAGCUCGCGGCCUAUCAGCUUGUUGGUGGGGUAAUGGCCUACCAAGGCGUCGACGGGUAGCCGGCCUGAGAGGGUGUACGGCCACAUUGGGCCGGAGAUCCGGCCCAGACUCCUGCGGGAGGCAGCAGUGGGGAAUAUUGCACAAUGGGCGCAAGCCUGAGCCAGCGACGCCGCGGGGGGGAUGCCGGCCUUCGGGUUGUAAACUCCUUUCGCUGGGGACGAAGCUUUAUGUGACGGUACCGGGAGAAGAAGCCCCGGCUAACUACGU